AGUGGGGAAUAUUGGACAAUGGGCCACAAGCCUGAUCCAGCAAUUCUGUGUGCACGAUGAAGGUCUUCGGAUUGUAAAGUGCUUUCAGUUGGGAAGAAGAAAGUGACGGUACCAACAGAAGAAGCGACGGCUAAAUACGUGCCAGCAGCCGCGGUAAUACGUAUGUCGCAAGCGUUAUCCGGAUUUAUUGGGCGUAAAGCGCGUCUAGGCGGAAAAAUAAGUCUGAUGUUAAAAUGCGGGGCUCAACUCCGUAUUGCGUUGGAAACUGUUUUUCUAGAGUACUGGAGAGGUGGGCGGAACUACAAGUGUAGAGGUGAAAUUCGUAGAUAUUUGUAGGAAUGCCGAUGGAGAAGUCAGCUCACUGGACAGAUACUGACGCUGAAGCGCGAAAGCGUGGGGAGCAAA
RNAcentral lists this ribosomal RNA (405 nucleotides) under Cetobacterium somerae. RNAcentral describes it as "bacterial SSU rRNA". It matches the Rfam family "Bacterial small subunit ribosomal RNA", at positions 353 to 772 of the family's 1533-position model. Lineage: Bacteria; Fusobacteriati; Fusobacteriota; Fusobacteriia; Fusobacteriales; Fusobacteriaceae. The record is from RNAcentral. RNAcentral also lists the same sequence under 1 other name.